This 509-nucleotide long non-coding RNA is filed under the name Physcomitrium patens. RNAcentral's name for it is "long non-coding RNA (PPAT_LNC012987)". The record is from RNAcentral. Lineage: Eukaryota; Viridiplantae; Streptophyta; Bryopsida; Funariales; Funariaceae.
AUAUCAAUUGGCCAUUUUUGCUUCUUAUAAAGAUCUUUAGACAUGAGAUUUAUUUCAGAACCAUGGUCCACCAAAGCAACUAUUGGUUCAUCUAUAUCUCCUACCUUCACCAAUACCUGAGUAGUUGCCCUUGCCCAAUGCUUUCGAGUAUAAUGGCUCAAGUUUCCAUUUCCUUGUCACUAGAAUCUUCGAAACGUACUCGCUGAUUAUACCCAUUCUUUUCAUUUGUUGGUUGAUUGUAACCAAUAUCAACCUCUUCUUCGUCUCUACAUAUUCUUGCAUCAAUAGCAUGACUCAUUCCAGUUUCGCCCAUUAAUUGCCUCUUUCGCUUAAUGCUGUCAAUGAUAACAUCAUGAAACUCCUUCUUUGCAAUUUUCAAAACUUCUUUCAAUGUGAAUUCCACCUUAGCGUUUAAUAUACGUUCUUCCAACACCCCUUUCAAAUUUGUUGCCGCUUCAAUGUCAGAAAGUAGCUUAUAAGUAAUUGAUUUGCCCUUAUCUUUUGUCUCC